CUAUUGACCUCUACAAUAUAUAAUUAGGGUCAACUAUUUUUUUUUUUUCCGUAAAAGUUAUCACUUACAUUUUUUCCACUAAUAAUAACAAAAUACUAGCCUUAGAAUUCCAAAGGUCAUAUAGCCAACAAAAUAGAGUUAUCAAUAACAUUUUUUUUUUUUUUUGCUUUCCAUUAUUAUUGAUAGCUAAAAUAACUUAGAUACAUAAAAUUAUAGAAGUUAGAGAAAAGGACAAAUGAAAUAAUUUAGAAUGAAAUAAAUUUAAAAUAUCAUACCUUACCUUUAUUUAGGCUCUAUUUUAUAUAUAGCAUCAAAGGUGUGUAAUAUUUAUACAUGUAUAAAAAAAAAAAAUAGAGUACAAAAAGAUAACAAAGAAAACAAAUAUGUUGUUGAGAUAUUUACAUAGAGAAGAGAAAAGUAUGAAUACGUGACAUUAUAAAACGAUGAUGAAAAUAAUAAUUAAAAAAUGAAAUAAAUAUAAAAAAAAUUAGAAAAAAAAAAUAAUUAGAAAGACACCUCAUAUAAAAUGCUAUUUUUUUAGCAUAUAUGGUCAUCCAUGGCAAUUUGUUCCAUUCUUUUUAAUCAUCUUCUUAAAAUCAUUUUCCCUUUCCAUCCUCAUAUAUGUGUCAAAGUAUUUGUAUUUUUUAUAUCUUCAACUCAUCUAUAUAUUAUAUGUAAAUAUGAAGACCACUAAAAAAAGUACAUUUUGCGUCGGUCAACGGGACGGUCAACAGCAAGGACCGACGCAAAAAGUGGAAGCCAAGUUGUUGUGUCAGUUGGAAACCGACGCAAAAGAAUAGGAGUUUGCGUCGGUUACUUGUACGACGCUAAAAUUUAAACCGAUGACAAACUUUAAUUUUUUUUUAGAAAAAUAUUUUAUGCGUCAUCUACCAACCGACGCUAAUAAUUAUUGCGUUGGUUGGAAAUUGACGCAAAUACUAUUAGCGUUUAAUAAAAACAGUCGCUAAUUAAUUAGUUUUUUCACAAAAUCCCUAAUUCUAACUUAGACAUUUCAUUUUCAGAAAACCUAAUAUCUCAUUGCUCUCUUCUCUCUCGCGCCCAAAACUCCAUGAUCCUCUCUUUGCCUCAAGCUCGAUGAACGAAGACUCUCUUGACUAGGCCAGCGGCGCACCACCGAAUCUUGAAGGCCAUUUCAACCUUCUCCACUCUAUUUCCCUCUCCGUUGGAUCUCUCUCCCCUUCGCCUUCUUCUUCGCAACUCGUUGCCCAAACAACCACCACCACCAGCCCGACGACCCAACAAUACCUCCUUGGUGUCCUCUUCGUUGCCGACCUCUGCUCCUCCAGAGGGCUCCAUGGACUUCUUUCCACUUGGCUCUUAUCACAACAAGGUGCUCUGCCUCUUCCCAUAUCUCUCUAAUAUAAUGUAAUAUAUAUAUAUAUAUAUGUAUGUAUAUGGGUAUAUGUAUAUGCCCAAGAGACUGUAAGAGUACGUAAAAGAAGAAAUUUUGUUUAUAUUUAUUCAUUCAUUCAUGAUCAAUAUAUAUGUGAGAGUGAAUCUCUAUUUUUA
Molecule: long non-coding RNA, 1530 nt
Organism: Cannabis sativa
Lineage: Eukaryota; Viridiplantae; Streptophyta; Magnoliopsida; Rosales; Cannabaceae
Exons: 2
Source: RefSeq, a predicted model, not a curated record